This 495-nucleotide ribosomal RNA is filed under the name uncultured bacterium. RNAcentral's name for it is "partial 16S ribosomal RNA". It matches the Rfam family "Bacterial small subunit ribosomal RNA", at positions 28 to 507 of the family's 1533-position model. The record is from RNAcentral.
GACGAACGCUGGCGGCGUGCCUAAUACAUGCAAGUCGAACGCUGAAGGAGGAGCUUGCUCUUCUGGAUGAGUUGCGAACGGGUGAGUAACGCGUAGGUAACCUGCCUGGUAGCGGGGGAUAACUAUUGGAAACGAUAGCUAAUACCGCAUAACAGUAGAUGUUGCAUGACAUUUGCUUAAAAGGUGCAAUUGCACCACUACCAGAUGGACCUGCGUUGUAUUAGCUAGUUGGUGGGGUAACGGCUCACCAAGGCGACGAUACAUAGCCGACCUGAGAGGGUGAUCGGCCACACUGGGACGGAGACACGGCCCAGACGCCUACGGGAGGCAGCAGUAGGGAAUCUUCGGCAAUGGACGGAAGUCUGACCGAGCAACGCCGCGUGAGGGAAGAAGGUUGUCGGAUCGUAAAGCUCGGUUGUAAGAGAAGAACGAGUGUGAGAGUGGAAAGUUCACACUGUGACGGUAUCUUACCAGAAAGGGACGGCUAACUACGUG